UACCAGCACCCCGAGUGGUCGGGACGAUUAUUGGGCCUAAAGCAUCCGUAGCCGGUCCUGCAAGUCUUCCGUUAAAUCCAGCUGCUCAACAGAUGGGCUGCGGAGGAUACUACAGGGCUAGGAGGCGGGAGAGGCAAGCGGUACUUUAUGGGUAGGGGUAAAAUCCGCUGAUCCAUAGAAGACCACCAGUGGCGAAGGCGGCUUGCCAGAACGCGCUCGACGGUGAGGGAUGAAAGCUGGGGGAGCAAACCGG
RNAcentral lists this ribosomal RNA (253 nucleotides) under uncultured bacterium. RNAcentral describes it as "partial 16S ribosomal RNA". It matches the Rfam family "Archaeal small subunit ribosomal RNA", at positions 474 to 727 of the family's 1478-position model. The record is from RNAcentral.